This 71-nucleotide transfer RNA is filed under the name Hordeum vulgare. RNAcentral describes it as "tRNA-OTHER". The record is from RNAcentral. Lineage: Eukaryota; Viridiplantae; Streptophyta; Magnoliopsida; Poales; Poaceae.
GAAGGCAUAGCCUAGCGGUAGCGUGUGUGCUUGGAGUGCAGGUGGGCAUGGGUUCGAUCCCCCCUGGCGCA